CGCGGGGUGGAGCAGUUCGGUAGCUCGUCGGGCUCAUAACCCGAAGGUCGUUGGUUCAAAUCCAGCCCCCGCUA
Molecule: non-coding RNA, 74 nt
Organism: Deltaproteobacteria bacterium
Lineage: Bacteria; Pseudomonadati; Myxococcota; Myxococcia
Source: Rfam